This 39-nucleotide ribosomal RNA is filed under the name Urtica dioica var. dioica. Its description in RNAcentral is "partial 18S ribosomal RNA". The record is from RNAcentral. Lineage: Eukaryota; Viridiplantae; Streptophyta; Magnoliopsida; Rosales; Urticaceae.
UUUCUGUAGGAGAACCUGCGGAAGGAUCAUUGUCGACCU